RNAcentral lists this ribosomal RNA (324 nucleotides) under uncultured bacterium. RNAcentral describes it as "bacterial SSU rRNA". It matches the Rfam family "Bacterial small subunit ribosomal RNA", at positions 28 to 327 of the family's 1533-position model. The record is from RNAcentral.
GAUGAACGCUGGCGGCAUGCCUAAGACAUGCAAGUCGAACGAAGUGAACCAAUGAAAAUAGAGUGCUUGCACAAAGUUGGAUUUGGAUUCUUCACUGAGUGGCAAACGGGUGAGUAACACGUGGGUUACCUACCUCUAAGACGGGGACAACAGUUGGAAACGAUUGCUAAUACCGGAUGUGAUCUGUGGAUUAAAGAAGCCUUUAAAGCUUCGCUUAGAGAUGGGCCUGCGGUGCAUUAGCUAGUUGGUGGGGUAAUGGCCCCACCAAGGCGACGAUGCAUAGCCGAACUGAGAGGUUGAUCGGCCACAUUGGGACUGAGACAC